UAAUUGUGUCAUUCUUAGUAAUUACUUCGU
This 30-nucleotide non-coding RNA is filed under the name Mus musculus (house mouse). Lineage: Eukaryota; Metazoa; Chordata; Mammalia; Rodentia; Muridae. The record is from RNAcentral.